Molecule: long non-coding RNA, 2133 nt
Organism: Cyprinus carpio (common carp)
Lineage: Eukaryota; Metazoa; Chordata; Actinopteri; Cypriniformes; Cyprinidae
Source: Ensembl
UAAACUUAGCCAGGCAAUGGUCAACAUCCAGGUAAUCAGUCCAAAACAAGAAACACAAACCAAGCAAGGAAACACGAAACCAGGGUGACAUUAAACAGUCCAAAACACGAAACACGAACAUCCACUAGGGAACCAGGAAAAAGCAGGGUGACAUGCAACAUGGACUCCGUAACAAUGACAGAAACCACCAGGGUAUUUAUAGACAGGUGAAAACAAGGUAAGUGGUGACAGCUGAACACAAUGAACAGUGAUGAACAGAUAAGGCUAGUGGGAAAUGUAGUUCAGAAGGGGGUGACAACAAGGGGAAGUGAGACCUCUAGUGGCCACCCAGGGAGACACAGAACAGACCCGUGACACUACCCCCCCUCUAAGGAGCAGCUUCCAGAUGCUCCUCAGAACAAAAUAAACACAAAACAAAGAGACCAGGAGGGAGGUGGACUGGUGGAGGCAGAACAGGGGGAGGGAUGGCGGGCCAGGCCCGUGUAGGGGAACUGGGACCGGCAGCGAUGGCUCCCCUGGUAGCCCAAGUGGCUCGGUCAGAUCAGGGGGCCAUGGUGGACCCGAAAGUUCAGGGGACCACGAGGGGCCAGGCAGUUCAGGUGGCCACGGUGGAUCAGUCCAUUCUCGUUGUGCAGACGGCCAGGGAGGAAUUCGCCAUUUGAGUGGCCCGAACGGAACCUGCCAAUCGGGGAGCCAGUAAGGAGCAGGCUGUGGCGAUGGCCAGGUCACGGCAUUGGACACCGCCUCGGGAACGGCUUUGGACAAGGGCACCGCCUCGGGAACGAUCUCGGGCAUGACCUCGGGCUCGGGCACCACCUCGGGAGCGGCCUCAGGAACGGCAUGGAACAAGAACACCGCCUCGGGAAUGGCCCUGGACACGGGCGUCGCCUCGGGAACAACCUCGGGUUCGGGCACCGCCUCGGGCACCGCCUCGGCAUCGGGCACCGCCUCGGCAUCGGGCACCGCCUCGGCAUCGGGCACCGCCUCGGCAUCGGACAUUGCAUCGGGAACCGCCUCGGGCACCGCCUCGGCCUCCGGAACAGCACCGGGCACCGCUUUGGCAUCGGGCACCGCCUCGGCCUCCGGAACCGUAUCGGGCACCACCUCGGCCUCCGGAACGGCAUCAGGCACCGCCUCGGCCUCGGGCACCGCCUCAGCCUCCGGAUCGAGCACUGCCUCGGGAACGGCCUCAGGAACCGCCUCGGCUUCAAGAACCGCCUCGGGCCCCGUAUCGGCCUCUGCCUCAGGCGCCGCCUCCGGGACGGCAGCGGGCUGCUCGGGAACCUCCUCCGGGCCGGCAGCGGGCUGCUCGGGAACGGCCUCCGGGACGGCAGCGGGCUGCUCGGGAACAUCCGCCGGGCUUUGAGGAACGGUAGACGCCUGUCCCCUCCUCCUCCGCCCUCUAUGAUGGCGAGUCGGUGUCACCUUGUCUGGAGACUCAGGCGUUGAGUCGGCCAUCUUGUCUGGUGACACAGGUGCAGAUUCGGCCAUCUUGUGCUGUGGCGCUGGGCUGGCGGCCAUCCUGUGCUGUGGCGCUGGGCUGGCGGCCAUCCUGUGCUGUGGCACUGGGCUGGUGGCCAUCUUGGGCAUUGGCGCUGGCUCCGCAGCCGGGACGUGAACACUCCUGGGAAUCUCUAAAAUCUGGUUCAACAUGGAAAAGUAAUCCAACAAUGUCUCCGCGGCCCUCUUGGGCAUUGGCGCUGGGCUGGCGUCCACCUUGCCUCGUGGCGCUGGCCCUGUGGCCAUCAUGGGCAGUUGCGCCACCAUGGCGGACCUGCGCUUCCUUUCCCCUCUCCGUCCGCCAUGGUGAGACAGUGGCUCCGAUCCGUCACACACGAGCCCAGGGUCGAAGGGGGGCCAUGGUUGAGAGCGAUGUUGAACCUCCUCUCGACUACUCCCUCCUCGGCGACCUCCCCUGGUUCCCCGGAAGACCACCAGGCUAGUUCCCUCAAAACUGCUCCUCUCCCGCUCUGUGGCUGGGGAGGAAACGUGAGCAGACAUACCGCUGGAUCUCAAGUUGACGGAGUCCUUCUGUCACGUCCGGGAUACAAGGAGACACAGUGAGAGAUCCAAAUGCGAGUACGUCUUUUAUUAAGGGCAAUCCAAAGAAUAAACAGUCCAGGCAGGGGGUCA